GUGGGGAAUCUUGCGCAAUGGGCGAAAGCCUGACGCAGCCAUGCCGCGUGAAUGAUGAAGGUCUUAGGAUUGUAAAAUUCUUUCACCGGGGACGAUAAUGACGGUACCCGGAGAAGAAGCUCCGGCUAACUUCGUGCCAGCAGCCGCGGUAAUACGAAGGGGGCUAGCGUUGCUCGGAAUUACUGGGCGUAAAGGUCGCGUAGGCGGACAGCUUAGUCAGAGGUGAAAGCCCAGGGCUCAACCUUGGAAUUGCCUUUGAUACUGGCUGUCUUGAGUUUGGGAGAGGUGAGUGGAGCUCCGAGUGUAGAGGUGAAAUUCGUAGAUAUUCGGAAGAACACCAGUGGCGAAGGCGACUCACUGGCCCAAUACUGACGCUGAGGCGCGAAAGCGUGGGGAGCAAACAGGAUUAGAUACCCGAGUAGUCC
RNAcentral lists this ribosomal RNA (425 nucleotides) under uncultured bacterium. RNAcentral's name for it is "partial 16S ribosomal RNA". It matches the Rfam family "Bacterial small subunit ribosomal RNA", at positions 354 to 796 of the family's 1533-position model. The record is from RNAcentral.